RNAcentral lists this non-coding RNA (102 nucleotides) under Bacillus sp. (in: firmicutes). RNAcentral's name for it is "Bacillus sp. Guanine sequence". It matches the Rfam family "Purine riboswitch aptamer". Rfam says of the family: Riboswitches are metabolite binding domains within certain messenger RNAs that serve as precision sensors for their corresponding targets. Allosteric rearrangement of mRNA structure is mediated by ligand binding, and this results in modulation of gene expression. The record is from RNAcentral. RNAcentral also lists the same sequence under 1 other name. Lineage: Bacteria; Bacillati; Bacillota; Bacilli; Caryophanales; Bacillaceae.
GGUGUAAAUUAAUAGGUUCUUCAUAUAUCCUCGAAAAUAAGGUUCGAGAGUCUCUACCGGGUCGCCGUAAAUGACCUGACUAUGAAGGCGGAGUUUUUUUCU